Molecule: long non-coding RNA, 521 nt
Organism: Spinacia oleracea (spinach)
Lineage: Eukaryota; Viridiplantae; Streptophyta; Magnoliopsida; Caryophyllales; Amaranthaceae
Exons: 4
Source: RefSeq, a predicted model, not a curated record
GUAAAAAGACGAUUUUGCCCCUGGGUAUGGGCAAAAAAGCUGCUGGUAACCGGCGAUGUAGCCUCCCUAAGUUGCAAAAGGAAUUGCACAGGAUUUGCACAGGAUUUGCACUUUGGCAAAUGGCAAUGGAGGUGAUUUCUAAUCUAGAGCCUUGAUUCGGAAAGUGGCCCACGUACUUAUAUAUUCGAGGCGGAGAAUUCUCUUUAGGCGACUUUUGAAAGUGUUAAAGUGGUCUAUCAGUUUGUUUACACAAGUCUCUAAGGAUCAAUAAGCAUUGUCCAUCUGCAGGUUUGAAGAUGUUGCAUCAUUGGGAUCGGGAAUAGAGAGCUUGUAUUUAGUUUUGAUUUGCUAAGUUAACUUGGGUUUGUUAAUUGGGACUUUAAACUUGUCGUACUAUUUAUAUUUCCUUAUUUUCGUUGGUUGAUUUUUGGGGACUAAAUCUGUAAUCGAUUAUUUAUAAACCUAAAGUUAGUUUUAUGUUUUCCGCUGCAAAAUUCUGAAUAAGCCGUUACGUUUUCACA